Molecule: transfer RNA, 69 nt
Filed under: Ixodes scapularis (black-legged tick)
Lineage: Eukaryota; Metazoa; Arthropoda; Arachnida; Ixodida; Ixodidae
Description: tRNA-Arg for anticodon UCU
Rfam family: tRNA
About the family: Transfer RNA (tRNA) molecules are approximately 80 nucleotides in length. Their secondary structure includes four short double-helical elements and three loops (D, anti-codon, and T loops).
Source: RNAcentral
GCGCUCGUGGCCUAACGGUUAUUGCGCGUGCCUUCUGCGCAGGAAGCCAGGGUUCGAUUCCCUGCCGCG